UCCAUAAACAAAGACCAUUCACAAUCACAAUCACAUUCACAUGCAUCGUUUUUUCGCCCUUUGCUUCUCCGCAUCUUAACUAAAUCAGAGAGAGACUGAACAAAAUAGAAAAAAAUAAAAAAUAAAAAAGAAGAAAUUCGCUUAGAUCUACGACGAAGAGCAAUCAUAUCCAUCUUUGACACUUAAUCUCACAAUCACAACGCUUGCUAGAAAUGCAGAAGACGGCACAAGCAUGGUUCAUCGGAGGUCCGAGCACCGCAAACUCAAACGGCCACCGACAAAAGCCUUCGUCUCUGCUGGCUGAUUGGAACUCUUUCGCCUCUUCUCGAGAAUCCGAUUCCUCCGCAUUCGAUCUGAAAGCUGCUCUGCACCACCACUGACAAAGUUAGCGGCACAUGAUAUGUUUUGUAUGUUUGAGAGAUUUGAGUGGACUCCAACACCAUUCCAAUGGUACAGAAGGCAAUGGCGGUGGGGCUGAUGAAAGGCCUGAGGACUCUAGGAAAUCCACUUAUGAGGUGCAUGAUGAGGCUGAGCAAGAAUCCAGCUCUUAGAUAUAUCUCAGAGUUGCUUUGGGAUCAGGGUGUGUACAGUGGCGAAGGAAUCAUCAACUGAAUAGCUGUUUAGAAGGUUUUAUGCUUCUUUUUCACAUGUUUGUUUCCCUACUCUGUCUCAAUCAUGGUUAUUAUGGUAGUUGAUAAUGAUAAAAAUGUAUAUUUUAUUACUAAAUGUUGAUAAAAAGAAAAAUUACAAUAAAGCCUUCCUGUUACAACUAUACUACAUGUUAAACUGUGUGUAUAGUCUGAAUCUGGAUAUUCUUGAAACUGUCAUUAAUUAACCAGAUUAAACAUCAACAUCUUCACCUACUUUACUCAUUUCAGAUGUACAUUGCUUCUUAAUUGAGGACAUUAAUAUAUACUAACAAAGAUAUAUUUUAUUAUUUUAAUAAAAAAAUGUAUGAGAUUGACAUAAUGUUUGAUACAGAUAAAGUUUAUGUUGCAUUUCAUGAUGAAUCCUGGGGAAUUCCAGUUUAUGAUGACAAGUAAGUCAGUUGUAAUAUUUAAUCCAGUGAAUAUAUAAAUUAUGAAAAAUCAGUGCCAACUUUUAAAUGGAAAAUUAUCAUCAAACAGUCAACUGUUCUAGCUACUUGCAUUGUGUGGUAUGUUGAUGGAUUACAACUAGAUUGAAAUCUUGAAAAGGAAAGAAUUAUUCAGGUACUACUUCUUUUGCACUACUCAAAUGUAACUAAAAUUUACAUAUUUUAAGAUACCUUCAUCAUAAAUCUAAACAUUUGGUCGAUAACGUAGAGAAGCUUUUGCGGGAUUCGAUCCUCAGGUUGUUGCCAAAAUGGGGGAGAAAGAGAUCUUAGAGAUAUCAUCAGACAGAGCAAUAAUGUUGGCAGAGAGCAGAGUGAGGUGCAUACUGGACAAUGCCAAAUGCAUAAUCAAAGUCCUUCAGUAGCUUUAUGUGGGGUUAUGUAAAUUACAAACCAGUUAUUAAUAAAUACAGAUACCCAAGAAAUGUUCCCUUAAGGACUCCAAAAGCUGAAGCCAUAAGCAAGGAUUUACUGAAGCAUGGGUUCCAAGUUGUUGGACCGGUGAUAGUUUACUCAUUCAUGCAGGCGGCAGGGCUGACAAUUAAUUGAUAGAUCUGAGAGUUGCUUUGGGAUCAGGGUGUGUAUGAUGGCGAAGGAAUCAUCAACUGAAUAGCUGUUUAGAAGGUUUUAUUCUUCUUUUUCUUAUGUUAGUUUCUGUUGCUUUAUAAACAUUUUUAAAUAGUCAAUUUUUGUUCCAACUUCCGUUGAGUCAAAUAUAUUGAUUAUUUAUUGCACGAGUUUGAGAGGUUGAGUGGCAACAAUGGAAGUGAUGCCGCCUUCAACAAAUCCUUUAACACCUAUUCUCUUCUCAGAAAAUUAAAACCAAAGAAACGAAAGAGUUGGGUGAUUACGAGGUGUGCGAUGAAAUGUGAUCCUCAAGUUCUCUAAGUUUGUUACUAAUUUUGAUCCUGACGUUAUUGCUAUACAGAUCAGUCAUUUUUUAUCAUUCUCUCUGUUGAUGUACUUUUAUUUGAUUAAUGCGUUCUGUGUUUGAAGUGUGAUUGUGUAAUGGGACAUGCGUAUUUGAGGUUUGGGUCAUUUGGUGUUACGAGAUUCUCAUAUUUGAUUAUUUCUAGAGUUGUAGCUUCUGAUUUUGUUGUUGUAUUUGAAGCUGAGACUUGAAUUGUAAACGAUUUGUUUGUGUUGUUUUAUUUGUUUCUUUUCUGCACACUUAAAGCACAUUGAUUGGGUUACGAAUGUGUUUCAUCGAAUUGCAUUAAUGGGUACUU
This is an RNA transcript of Pistacia vera, 2322 nucleotides long. RefSeq lists it as uncharacterized. The transcript has 5 exons. The record is from RefSeq and is a predicted model, not a curated record. Lineage: Eukaryota; Viridiplantae; Streptophyta; Magnoliopsida; Sapindales; Anacardiaceae.